GGCAAGAUGGCCGAGCGGUCUAAGGCGCUGUGUUCAGGUUCUUCUGAGUAUCGCAGUCCGAAAGGGCGUGGGUUCGAAUCCCACUCUUGUCA
Transfer RNA from Neurospora tetrasperma FGSC 2509, 92 nucleotides. It matches the Rfam family "tRNA". From Rfam's summary of the family: Transfer RNA (tRNA) molecules are approximately 80 nucleotides in length. Their secondary structure includes four short double-helical elements and three loops (D, anti-codon, and T loops). Further hydrogen bonds mediate the characteristic L-shaped molecular structure. tRNAs have two regions of fundamental functional importance: the anti-codon, which is responsible for specific mRNA codon recognition, and the 3' end, to which the tRNAs corresponding amino acid is attached (by aminoacyl-tRNA synthetases). tRNAs cope with the degeneracy of the genetic code in two manners: having more than one tRNA (with a specific anti-codon) for a particular amino acid; and 'wobble' base-pairing, i.e. permitting non-standard base-pairing at the 3rd anti-codon position. NCBI's taxonomy places the organism in Eukaryota, Fungi, Ascomycota, Sordariomycetes, Sordariales, Sordariaceae. The record is from Rfam.